RNAcentral lists this unclassified non-coding RNA (204 nucleotides) under soil metagenome. RNAcentral describes it as "partial contains 5.8S ribosomal RNA, internal transcribed spacer 2, and large subunit ribosomal RNA". The record is from RNAcentral.
AACCUAGCACACCUGCGGUGUGUACCUGCGGAGGGAUCAUUAUCGUUGGGCUCCUGCCCAUUCGAGAUAACACCCUUGCCUUUUUGAGUACCUUUUCGUUUCCUCGGCAGGCACGCCUGCCAACGGGGACCCUUCAAAACGCUUUGUAAUACCUGUCAUUGUCUGAUAUAACAAGCAAAAAUCAAAACUUUUAGCAACGGAUCU